RNAcentral lists this ribosomal RNA (250 nucleotides) under uncultured bacterium. RNAcentral describes it as "partial 16S ribosomal RNA". It matches the Rfam family "Bacterial small subunit ribosomal RNA", at positions 524 to 773 of the family's 1533-position model. The record is from RNAcentral.
UACGGAGGGGGCUAGCGUUGUUCGGAAUUAUUGGGCGUAAAGGGCGCGUAGGCGGCCGGACAAGUCGGGUGUGAAAUCCCUCGGCUCAACCGAGGAACUGCAUUCGAUACUGUCUGGCUCGAGUCCGGGAGGGGAUGGUGGAAUUCCCAGUGUAGCGGUGAAAUGCGUAGAUAUUGGGAAGAACACCGGUGGCGAAGGCGACCAUCUGGACCGGAACUGACGCUGAGGCGCGAAAGCCAGGGGAGCGAAU